Syntrophus aciditrophicus SB is the source of this 38-nucleotide regulatory RNA element. It matches the Rfam family "Selenocysteine insertion sequence 4". NCBI's taxonomy places the organism in Bacteria, Pseudomonadati, Thermodesulfobacteriota, Syntrophia, Syntrophales, Syntrophaceae. The record is from Rfam.
GGGACGUGCACGCGUUGCGGGGCAACGAUGGUCAAGGA